ACUCAAAGGAAUUGACGGGGGCCCGCACAAGCGGAGGAACAUGUGGUUUAAUUCGAUGAUACGCGAGGAACCUUACCCGGGCUUGAAAUGCAUCUGACGUGGGCAGAGACGCCCAUUCCCCUCGGGGCAGAUGUGUAGGUGCUGCAUGGUUGUCGUCAGCUCGUGCCGUGAGGUGUCGGCUUAAGUGCCAUAACGAGCGCAACCCUCAUCAUUAGUUACCAUCAGGUGAAGCUGGGGACUCUAAUGAGACUGCCAUCGUAAGAUGCGAGGAAGGUGGGGAUGACGUCAAAUCAGCACGGCCCUUACGUCCGGGGCGACACACGUGUUACAAUGGGUGGUACAAAGGGCAGCUACAUGGCGACAUGAUGCUAAUCUCCAAAACCGCUCUCAGUUCGGAUCGGAGUCUGCAACUCGACUCCGUGAAGCUGGAUUCGCUAGUAAUCGCGCAUCAGCCACGGCGCGGUGAAUACGUUCCCGGGCCUUGUACACACCGCCCGU
RNAcentral lists this ribosomal RNA (498 nucleotides) under uncultured archaeon. RNAcentral describes it as "bacterial SSU rRNA". It matches the Rfam family "Bacterial small subunit ribosomal RNA", at positions 899 to 1397 of the family's 1533-position model. The record is from RNAcentral.